AUUGAACGCUGGCGGCAGGCCUAACACAUGCAAGUCGAGCGGAUGAAGGGAGCUUGCUCCUGGCUUCAGCGGCGGACGGGUGAGUAAUGCCUAGGAAUCUGCCUGGUAGUGGGGGAUAACGUCCGGAAACGGGCGCUGAUCCAGCAUACGUCCUGAGGGAGAACGUGGGGGAUCUUCGGACCUCACGCUAUCAGAUGAGCCUAGGUCGGAUUAGCUAGUUGGUGGGGUAAAGGCCUACCAAGGCGACGAUCCGUAACUGAUCUGAGAGGAUGAUCAGUCACACUGGAACUGAGACACGGUCCAGACUCCUACGGGAGGCAGCAGUAGGGAAUAUUGGACAAUGGGCGAAAGCCUGAUGCAGCCAUGCCGCGUGUGUGAAGAAGGUCUUCGGAUUGUAAAGCACUUUAAGUUGGGAGGAAGGGCAGUAAGUUAAUACCUUGCUGUUUUGACGGUACCAACAGAAUAAGCACCGGCUAACUUCGUG
This 484-nucleotide ribosomal RNA is filed under the name uncultured bacterium. Its description in RNAcentral is "partial 16S ribosomal RNA". It matches the Rfam family "Bacterial small subunit ribosomal RNA", at positions 30 to 507 of the family's 1533-position model. The record is from RNAcentral.